GGGGAAUAUCGCACAAUGGGCGCAAGCCUGAUGCAGCCAUGCCGCGUGUGUGAAGAAGGCCUUCGGGUUGUAAAGCACUUUCAGCGGGGAGGAAGGCGGUGAGGUUAAUAACCUUAGUGAUUGACGUUACUCGCAGAAGAAGCACCGGCUAACUCCGUGCCAGCAGCCGCGGUAAUACGGAGGGUGCAAGCGUUAAUCGGAAUUACUGGGCGUAAAGCGCACGCAGGCGGUCUGUCAAGUCGGAUGUGAAAGCCCCGGGCUCAACCUGGGAACUGCAUUCGAAACUGGCAGGCUAGAGUCUUGUAGAGGGGGGUAGAAUUCCAGGUGUAGCGGUGAAAUGCGUAGAGAUCUGGAGGAAUACCGGUGGCGAAGGCGGCCCCCUGGACAAAGACUGACGCUCAGGUGCGAAAGCGUGGGGAGCAAAC
This 425-nucleotide ribosomal RNA is filed under the name uncultured bacterium. RNAcentral's name for it is "bacterial SSU rRNA". It matches the Rfam family "Bacterial small subunit ribosomal RNA", at positions 356 to 773 of the family's 1533-position model. The record is from RNAcentral.